GGGAGUCAUGGCAGCCAUGGUGGUCAGCGCACCUGCGUGCAGGCAAAUGAGGCAAGGCUGAGCCCAGCGGGCGGGCGAGUUACUGCGCGCGCACCUCACCCGCCCCCUGCAUUCCCCUCCUUCGCCGGCAGGUGGAGAUGACGGGCAGCAGCGUCUUCGACUACAUUCACCCUGGGGACCACUCAGAGGUGCUGGAGCAACUGGGGCUGCGGACGCCGACGCCCGGCCCCCCAACCCCGCCCUCCGUCUCCUCUUCCUCCUCCUCUUCCUCUUCGCUUGCAGAUACCCCCGAGAUCGAGUCAGCGACCACAUGGACCUGGGGCCCUCAGAGCUGGUGGGCCGCAGCUGCUACCAGUUUGUCCACGGACAGGACGCCACGAGGAUCCGCCAGAGCCACGUGGACUGUGAGACCCACCUCCACCCACCAAGCCUGCCUACCACCCCCUAGACCCGAGCAUCCCACUCCCUGGUCCCUGGAAGUCCUUCUUCAGGGCUGCCCACAGUCCCUCCUGCUGCACCUACAGCUCCAGGGACUCCGUUUAGCAUUGGAAGAGCAGCAAGGAGACUGAGUGAUGCCUCAGGAUGAGGGGGGGGUCUGGGGGGC
Molecule: small RNA, 604 nt
Filed under: Pan troglodytes (chimpanzee)
Lineage: Eukaryota; Metazoa; Chordata; Mammalia; Primates; Hominidae
Description: retained intron
Source: RNAcentral